UUAAAAAUAAGUUAAGUUAAACUACGGGUUUGUGGAGCCCGAUAUCCACUUGGUUUUUGAG
This 61-nucleotide transfer RNA is filed under the name Biomphalaria glabrata. RNAcentral's name for it is "tRNA-His". Lineage: Eukaryota; Metazoa; Mollusca; Gastropoda; Planorbidae. The record is from RNAcentral.